UCAAUACCGGUAGUAGAGAUGAUGAAC
RNAcentral lists this non-coding RNA (27 nucleotides) under Sclerotinia sclerotiorum. The record is from RNAcentral. Lineage: Eukaryota; Fungi; Ascomycota; Leotiomycetes; Helotiales; Sclerotiniaceae.